AAUAAAGUACCUAUUUAAGGAUUUACAUUGAUAAAGUAAACAUGCACUCUUAUGCCUUUAUUA
Molecule: transfer RNA, 63 nt
Filed under: Pseudoniphargus sp. 2-Portugal
Lineage: Eukaryota; Metazoa; Arthropoda; Malacostraca; Amphipoda; Allocrangonyctidae
Description: tRNA-Ile
Source: RNAcentral